GACGAACGCUGGCGGCGUGCUUAACACAUGCAAGUCGAACGGAAAGGCCCUGCUUUUGUGGGGUGCUCGAGUGGCGAACGGGUGAGUAACACGUGAGUAACCUGCCUUUGACUUUGGGAUAACUUCAGGAAACUAGAGCUAAUACCGGAUAGGAGCUCCUGCUGCAUGGUGGGGGUUGGAAAGUUUCGGCGGUUGGGGAUGGACUCGCGGCUUAUCAGCUUGUUGGUGGGGUAGUGGCUUACCAAGGCUUUGACGGUUAGCCGGCCUGAGAGGGUGACCGGCCACAUUGAGACUGAGAUACGACCAAGAGUGCUACGGGAGGCAGAAGUGGGGAAUAUAGCACAAUGGGCGGAAGCCUGAUGCAGCAACGCCGCGUGCGGGAUGACUGCCUUCGGGUUGUAAACCGCUUGAGCCUGUGACGAAGAGUGAGUGACGGUAAUGGGUAAAGAAGCACCGGCUAACUACGUG
RNAcentral lists this ribosomal RNA (468 nucleotides) under uncultured bacterium. RNAcentral describes it as "partial 16S ribosomal RNA". It matches the Rfam family "Bacterial small subunit ribosomal RNA", at positions 28 to 507 of the family's 1533-position model. The record is from RNAcentral.